This 1482-nucleotide ribosomal RNA is filed under the name uncultured Bordetella sp. RNAcentral's name for it is "partial 16S-23S ribosomal RNA intergenic spacer". It matches the Rfam family "Bacterial small subunit ribosomal RNA". The record is from RNAcentral. Lineage: Bacteria; Pseudomonadati; Pseudomonadota; Betaproteobacteria; Burkholderiales; Alcaligenaceae.
GGUUCGAUUAUGGCUCAGAUUGAACGCUGGCGGGAUGCUUUACACAUGCAAGUCGAACGGCAGCACGGACUUCGGUCUGGUGGCGAGUGGCGAACAGGUGAGUAAUGUAUCGGAACGUGCCUAGUAGCGGGGGAUAACUACGCGAAAGCGUAGCUAAUACCGCAUACGCCCUUGAGGAAAGCAGGGGACCUUCGGGCCUCGCACUAUUAAGCGGCCGAUAUCGGAUUAGCUGGUUAAUUGGGGUAACGGCUCACCAAGGCGACGAUCCGUAGCUGGUUUGAGAGGACGACCAGCCACACAGGACUGAGACACGGCCCAGACUCUACAGGAGGCAGCAGUGGGGAAUUUUGGACAAUGGGGGAAACCCUGAUCCAGCCAUCCCGCGUGUGCGAUGAAGGCCUUCGGUUUGUAAAGCACUUUUAGCGGGAAAAAAACGGCACGGGAUAAUACCCCGUGCAACUGACAACCACCUGCAGGUAAGCACCGGCUAACUACGUGCCAGCAGCCGCGGUAAUACGUAGGGUGCAAGCGUUAAUCGGAAUUACUGGGCGUAAAGCGUGCGCAGGCGGUUCGGAAAAGAAGAUGUGAAAUCCCAGAGCUUAACUUUGGAACUGCAUUUUUAACUACCGAGCUAGAGUGUGUCAGAGGGAGGUGGAAUUCCGCGUGUAGCAGUGAAAUACGUAGAUAUGCGGAGGAACACCGAUGGCGAAGGCAGCCUCCUGGGAUAACACUGACGCUCAUGCACGAAAGCGUGGGGAGCAAACAGGAUUAGAUACCCUGGUAGUCCACGCCCUAAACGAUGUCAACUAGCUGUUGGGGCCUUCGGGCCGUAGUAGCGCAACUAACGCGUGAAGUUGACCGCCUGGGAUACGGUCGCAAGAUUAAAACUCAAAGGAAUUGACGGGGACCCGCACAAGCGGUGGAUGAUGUGGAUUAAUUCGAUGCAACGCGAAAAACCUUACCUACCCUUGACAUGUCUGGAAUCCCGAAGAGAUUUGGGAGUGCUCGCAAGAGAACAGGAACUACGAGCGCUGCAUGGCUGUCGUCAGCUCGUGUCGUGAGAUGUUGGGUUAAGUCCCGCAACGAGCGCAACCCUUGUCAUUAGUUGCUACGAAAGGGCGCUCUAAUGAGACUGCCGGUGACAAACCGGAGGAAGGUGGGGAUGACGUCAAGUCCUCAUGGCCCUUAUGGGUAGGGCUACACACGUCAUACAAUGGUCAGGACAGAGAGACGCCAACCCGCGAGGGAGCCAAUCCCAGAAACCCGAUCGUAGUCCGGAUCGCAGUCUGCAACUCGACUGCGUGAAGUCGGAAUCGCUAGUAAUCGCGGAUCAGCAUGUCGCGGUGAAUACGUUCCCGGGUCUUGUACACACCGCCCGUCACACCAUGGGAGUGGGUUUUACCAGAAGUAGUUAGCCUAACCGUAAAGGAGGGCGAUUACCACGGUAGGAUUCAUGACUGGGGUGAAGUCGUAACAAGGUAG